AGACAGAGAGAGAGAGAGAGAGAGAGAGAGAGAGCUCGAGGGAGAGAGAGAGAGUCCAAACUGACCCGGUUUCAAGCUUGAAAGGAAGUCUACCAGGAAACCCAGGAAGUGUCUCCACUAUGUGCUGAGAUGAAGCAGCUGAAGCAGACA
Molecule: long non-coding RNA, 150 nt
Organism: Rhodamnia argentea
Lineage: Eukaryota; Viridiplantae; Streptophyta; Magnoliopsida; Myrtales; Myrtaceae
Exons: 3
Source: RefSeq, a predicted model, not a curated record